GAUCAGUGAGACUGAGAAAUGCAUAGCCGUGCUCAAAUGAAUUGAUAGUGUAUUCAAUAUCAUUUAAAUUUAUCAGUCUACUUAGAGAUCGAGAAAUCAUAAGUUUGAACAUUAUAAGUUUGACAUUGACCAUGACUUAUGUUCAAACUAGAUAUCGUGUGACAAAGGGAUUAAUACAUGUUCUAUUUAAUAGGCUUUAUCGGACUAUUGAUCCUCAUAUUAGUUGGGUAGUCAUAAUGUCUUGCUAGAGGCCACUUAUGACUUAUAGGCCUUGUUGGACUGGGCCUAUUGCCAAUUAAUAUGAGCCUAUUGGGUCACACACAAGAACGUUGUUGAUGUGCUAUAUUAAUGGGCUAAAAGCCCAUUAGUAUAAUUAAUAAUAAUAAAGUGUUAUUAUUAUUAAU
This 404-nucleotide long non-coding RNA is filed under the name Manihot esculenta (cassava). RNAcentral's name for it is "long non-coding RNA (MESC_LNC011267)". Lineage: Eukaryota; Viridiplantae; Streptophyta; Magnoliopsida; Malpighiales; Euphorbiaceae. The record is from RNAcentral.